Molecule: ribosomal RNA, 522 nt
Filed under: uncultured eukaryote
Lineage: Eukaryota
Description: SSU rRNA
Rfam family: Eukaryotic small subunit ribosomal RNA
Source: RNAcentral
UAGUCAUAUGCUUGUCUCAAAGAUUAAGCCAUGCAUGUCUAAGUAUAAGCACUUAUACCGUGAAAUUGCGAAUGGCUCAUUAAAUCAGUUAUCGUUUAUUUGAUAGUACCUUUACCUGGAUAACCGUGGUAAUUCUAGAGCUAAUACAUGCUAAAAACCCCGACUUCGGGAGGGGUGUAUUUAUUAGAUAAAAAACCAAUGCCCUUCGGGGCUCCUUGGUGAUUCAUAAUAACUUAACGAAUCGCAUGGCCUUGCGCCGGCGAUGGUUCAUUCAAAUUUCUGCCCUAUCAACUUUCGAUUGUAGGAUAGAGGCCUACAAUGGUCUUAACGGGUAACGGGGAAUUAGGGUUCUAUUCCGGAGAGGGAGCCUGAGAAACGGCUACCACAUCCAAGGAAGGCAGCAGGCGCGCAAAUUACCCAAUCCCGAUACGGGGAGGUAGUGACAAUAAAUACUGAUACGGGGCUCUUUCGGGUCUCGUAAUUGGAAUGAGUACAAUCUAAAUCCCUUAACGAGGAACAAUU